AUUGAACGCUGGCGGCAGGCCUAACACAUGCAAGUCGAGCGGAUGAAGGGAGCUUGCUCCUGGAUUCAGCGGCGGACGGGUGAGUAAUGCCUAGGAAUCUGCCUGGUAGUGGGGGAUAACGUCCGGAAACGGGCGCUAAUACCGCAUACGUCCUGAGGGAGAAAGUGGGGGGUCUUCGGACCUCACGCUAUCAGAUGAGCCUAGGUCGGAUUAGCUAGUUGGUGGGGUAAAGGCCUACCAAGGCGACGAUCCGUAACUGGUCUGAGAGGAUGAUCAGUCACACUGGAACUGAGACACGGUCCAGACUCCUACGGGAGGCAGCAGUAGGGAAUAUUGGACAAUGGGCGAAAGCCUGAUCCAGCCAUGCCGCGUGUGUGAAGAAGGUCUUCGGAUUGUAAAGCACUUUAAGUUGGGAGGAAGGGCAGUAAGUUAAUACCUUGCUGUUUUGACGUUACCAACAGAAUAAGCACCGGCUAACUUCGUG
RNAcentral lists this ribosomal RNA (484 nucleotides) under uncultured bacterium. RNAcentral's name for it is "partial 16S ribosomal RNA". It matches the Rfam family "Bacterial small subunit ribosomal RNA", at positions 30 to 507 of the family's 1533-position model. The record is from RNAcentral.